CCUACGGGAGGCAGCAGUGGGGAAUAUUGCACAAUGGGGGAAACCCUGAUGCAGCGACGCCGCGUGAGUGAAGAAGUAUUUCGGUAUGUAAAGCUCUAUCAGCAAGGAAGAAAAUGACGGUACCUGAUUCAGAAGCCCCGGCUAACUACGUGCCAGCAGCCGCGGUAAUACGUAGGGGGCAAGCGUUAUCCGGAUUUACUGGGUGUAAAGGGAGCGUAGACGGCAGCACAAGUCUGGAGUGAACUGCCGGGGCUGAACCCCGGAACUGCUUUGGAAACUGUGCAGCUAGAGUGCAGGAGAGGUAAGUGGAAUUCCUAGUGUAGCGGUGAAAUGCGUAGAUAUUAGGAGGAACACCAGUGGCGAAGGCGGCUUACUGGACUGUAACUGACGUUGAGGCUCGAAGGCGUGGGGAGCAAACAGGAUUAGAUACCCUGGUAGUC
RNAcentral lists this ribosomal RNA (440 nucleotides) under uncultured bacterium. Its description in RNAcentral is "partial 16S ribosomal RNA". It matches the Rfam family "Bacterial small subunit ribosomal RNA", at positions 338 to 795 of the family's 1533-position model. The record is from RNAcentral.